GUAAUCUUUCAAUCGCGCAGAGGCGAUCCCAGGACGUCAAAAGGGGCGGCAGAUCGGCUCUAAUUGGUGGAAGAGUUAACUGACUACGUUCUGUAAGCCAGCGGCCGAGUUUCGGCCGCGGCCGCUCACAGCUCGUCGGCGAGGUAUCAGUCCGCCUUCCUGGAAGUGCUGCUGGCGCCUGGUUCCGCCUCUGACGGUGACGCCGAGCCGCUGCCGCACCGCCUCACUGCCGGCGCAGUUUGCACCAAGUCACUGUGAUAGAAGGCCGUCCACAAAAGCCCUGCAAACAGUUUUAACAUGUCGCUCCGUGUAUCUUCCGUGGUGCUCCUGCUGGCUCUGGUGGCCGCGUGCAGCGCGCAGGCCUGCUCCGACAACCCCUGUGGCUCCGACGAAAUCUGUAUGCCGGUCGCCGACGGGCUCAGCUUCAAGUCCUCGUGCAUCAAGAUCGACUCGCGCUUCAAGACGGACUCGGCGCACGCGGGCAGCAGCUUCCCGCCUCAGGCGGGCGCCGGCUCCGGGGCCGGGUCCCUGGGCGCGGCACUGCUGGCUGUGACUGCCCUCGCUGCCGCCCUCCGCCUGCUCUGAGGAACAGAGAGUUGGCAAGGCCUCUAUGUGGAGUACAGAGAUGUGAGGCAGGGGUCUGGAAAGCCAGUGCAGCAGUUGGGACCGUUGGUUGUUGGUCACUGAGAGGGCAAGAACAGGGUGACUUGUUAGACUGAUGGAUGUUCGAGGUGCUUUAGGGGCGUCCGUUUUCUGUGGGCGAGCUUAAUUUGUCUUAGUGAUUGAGCACCGUUUGAUUUCACGAUUUAUCUUUGUCCCUGUAGUAGUCUCUACUUAUCGAUGGUUUUGAAAAGAAUAUAUAAUGGGGCAUUUUAUGUUGUACAAUCGUCCCUUUUCGAAGACAGUAGGCGUACUCGAAGUCCUUAUUCACAGCAUGCAUUGGAAUCUGUAUAUUAUGUAGGUGAGCUUGCCUGCUGGUUGCGCAUUGACUUAGCUAUCCAAGACAGUAUCCAAGGCAAACUUUUUUCCUUUUGAUAAUGAGCAAAUAGUGAUAUGUUGGGGAUAACUGCCAACAAUUUACGCUACUUCGUGAAUGGGUUAACGCCAUGGUUUUACCUUCUUUCUACGAUUCUUUGCAAGACGAAUAAUAUUUUGUUCUACAUACAUCAGUGUAUGAACAAAUUGAAGUAAGUUUGAAAUUUGACAAUACAACUGUUAAACAUUCAGGCCGACCUUAUAUCCGAGUAGUUGGUAAAUAAGAAGAAAACAAAAGGUGUGCGUCGUGGUGAGCCGAUAUACGCAUCAGGACAUUUGAUCUGCCCCCUCUUGUCUGAUGUUACAUAUAGUACGAUCACGUUUUCUGUCCUUCGGUCCAAUACAUAUGUCUUUGCAUCUA
Amphibalanus amphitrite is the source of this 1396-nucleotide long non-coding RNA. RefSeq lists it as uncharacterized. The transcript has 2 exons. NCBI's taxonomy places the organism in Eukaryota, Metazoa, Arthropoda, Thecostraca, Balanomorpha, Balanidae. The record is from RefSeq and is a predicted model, not a curated record.